This 447-nucleotide ribosomal RNA is filed under the name uncultured bacterium. RNAcentral describes it as "partial 16S ribosomal RNA". It matches the Rfam family "Bacterial small subunit ribosomal RNA", at positions 29 to 523 of the family's 1533-position model. The record is from RNAcentral.
AGCGAACGCUGGCGGCAGGCUUAACACAUGCAAGUCGAGCGCCCCGCAGGGGGAGCGGCAGACGGGAGAGUAACACGUGGGAACAUACCUUUUGGUUCGGAACAACUGAGGGAAACUUCAGCUAAUACCGGAUAAGCCCUUACGGGGAAAGAUUUAUCGCCGAAAGAUUGGCCCGCGUCUGAUUAGCUAGUUGGUGAGGUAACGGCUCACCAAGGCGACGAUCAGUAGCUGGUCUGAGAGGAUGAUCAGCCUCACUGGGACUGAGACACGGCCCAGACUCCUACGGGAGGCAGCAGUGGGGAAUAUUGGACAAUGGGCGCAAGCCUGAUCCAGCCAUGCCGCGUGAGUGAUGAAGGCCUUAGGGUUGUAAAGCUCUUUUGCCCGGGAAGAUAAUGACGGUACCGGGAGAAUAAGCCCCGGCUAACUUCGUGCCAGCAGCCGCGGUAA